Molecule: transfer RNA, 77 nt
Filed under: Alcanivorax nanhaiticus
Lineage: Bacteria; Pseudomonadati; Pseudomonadota; Gammaproteobacteria; Oceanospirillales; Alcanivoracaceae
Also listed under: 4 other names
Description: tRNA-Arg
Rfam family: tRNA
About the family: Transfer RNA (tRNA) molecules are approximately 80 nucleotides in length. Their secondary structure includes four short double-helical elements and three loops (D, anti-codon, and T loops).
Source: RNAcentral
GCGCCCGUAGCUCAGCUGGAUAGAGCGUUGCCCUCCGGAGGCAGAGGUCAGAGGUUCGAAUCCUCUCGGGCGCGCCA